GCCUAACACAUGCAAGUCGAACGGUAACAUUUCUAGCUUGCUAGAAGAUGACGAGUGGCGGACGGGUGAGUAAUGCUUGGGAACUUGCCUUUGCGAGGGGGAUAACAGUUGGAAACGACUGCUAAUACCGCAUAAUGUCUUCGGACCAAACGGGGCUUCGGCUCCGGCGCAAAGAGAGGCCCAAGUGAGAUUAGCUAGUUGGUAAGGUAACGGCUUACCAAGGCGACGAUCUCUAGCUGUUCUGAGAGGAAGAUCAGCCACACUGGGACUGAGACACGGCCCAGACUCCUACGGGAGGCAGCAGUGGGGAAUAUUGCACAAUGGGGGAAACCCUGAUGCAGCCAUGCCGCGUGUGUGAAGAAGGCCUUCGGGUUGUAAAGCACUUUCAGUUGUGAGGAAAAGUUAGUAGUUAAUACCUGCUAGCCGUGACGUUAACAACAGAAGAAGCACCGGCUAACUCCGUGCCAGCCGCCGCGGUAAUA
This 482-nucleotide ribosomal RNA is filed under the name uncultured bacterium. RNAcentral describes it as "bacterial SSU rRNA". It matches the Rfam family "Bacterial small subunit ribosomal RNA", at positions 46 to 525 of the family's 1533-position model. The record is from RNAcentral.